UAGCUUGCUACCUGACCUAGCGGCGGACGGGUGAGUAAUGCUUAGGAAUCUGCCUAUUAGUGGGGGACAACAUUCCGAAAGGAAUGCUAAUACCGCAUACGCCCUACGGGGGAAAGCAGGGGAUCUUCGGACCUUGCGCUAAUAGAUGAGCCUAAGUCAGAUUAGCUAGUUGGUGGGGUAAAGGCCUACCAAGGCGACGAUCUGUAGCGGGUCUGAGAGGAUGAUCCGCCACACUGGGACUGAGACACGGCCCAGACUCCUACGGGAGGCAGCAGUGGGGAAUAUUGGACAAUGGGCGAAAGCCUGAUCCAGCCAUGCCGCGUGUGUGAAGAAGGCCUUUUGGUUGUAAAGCACUUUAAGCGAGGAGGAGGCUACUUAGAUUAAUACUCUAGGAUAGUGGACGUUACUCGCAGAAUAAGCACCGGCUAACUCUGUGCCAGCAGCCGCGGUAAUACAGAGGGUGCGAGCGUUAAUCGGAUUUACUGGGCGUAAAGCGUGCGUAGGCGGCUUCUUAAGUCGGAUGUGAAAUCCCUGAGCUUAACUUAGGAAUUGCAUUCGAUACUGGGAAGCUAGAGUAUGGGAGAGGAUGGUAGAAUUCCAGGUGUAGCGGUGAAAUGCGUAGAGAUCUGGAGGAAUACCGAUGGCGAAGGCAGCCAUCUGGCCUAAUACUGACGCUGAGGUACGAAAGCAUGGGGAGCAAACAGGAUUAGAUACCCUGGUAGUCCAUGCCGUAAACGAUGUCUACUAGCCGUUGGGGCCUUUGAGGCUUUAGUGGCGCAGCUAACGCGAUAAGUAGACCGCCUGGGGAGUACGGUCGCAAGACUAAAACUCAAAUGAAUUGACGGGGGCCCGCACAAGCGGUGGAGCAUGUGGUUUAAUUCGAUGCAACGCGAAGAACCUUACCUGGUCUUGACAUAGUAAGAACUUUCCAGAGAUGGAUUGGUGCCUUCGGGAACUUACAUACAGGUGCUGCAUGGCUGUCGUCAGCUCGUGUCGUGAGAUGUUGGGUUAAGUCCCGCAACGAGCGCAACCCUUUUCCUUAUUUGCCAGCGGGUUAAGCCGGGAACUUUAAGGAUACUGCCAGUGACAAACUGGAGGAAGGCGGGGACGACGUCAAGUCAUCAUGGCCCUUACGACCAGGGCUACACACGUGCUACAAUGGUCGGUACAAAGGGUUGCUACCUAGCGAUAGGAUGCUAAUCUCAAAAAGCCGAUCGUAGUCCGGAUUGGAGUCUGCAACUCGACUCCAUGAAGUCG
Molecule: ribosomal RNA, 1257 nt
Filed under: uncultured Acinetobacter sp.
Lineage: Bacteria; Pseudomonadati; Pseudomonadota; Gammaproteobacteria; Moraxellales; Moraxellaceae
Description: bacterial SSU rRNA
Rfam family: Bacterial small subunit ribosomal RNA
Source: RNAcentral